Molecule: ribosomal RNA, 378 nt
Filed under: uncultured bacterium
Lineage: Bacteria
Description: bacterial SSU rRNA
Rfam family: Bacterial small subunit ribosomal RNA
Source: RNAcentral
UAAUACAGAGGUGCCAAGCGUUAGGCGGAAUCACUGGGCUUAAAGCGCGUGUAGGUGGGUCGUUAAGUGUCCGCGUGAAAUCCCACGGCUCAACCGUGGAACUGCCGGGCAUACUGGCGAUCUUGAGGCAUUCAGGGGCGAGCGGAACAAAUGGUGGAGCGGUGAAAUGCGUAGAUAUCAUUUGGAACGCCAAUGGUGAAAACAGCUCGCUGGGAAUGAUCUGACACUGAGACGCGAAAGCCAGGGGAGCGAACGGGAUUAGAUACCCCGGUAGUCCUGGCCCUAAACGAUGUCCACUAGAUCGUGGCACCUCUGACGGUGUCAUGGUCGGAGCAAAAGUGUUAAGUGGACCGCCUGGGAAGUACGGUCGCAAGGCUA